This 745-nucleotide ribosomal RNA is filed under the name uncultured bacterium. Its description in RNAcentral is "bacterial SSU rRNA". It matches the Rfam family "Bacterial small subunit ribosomal RNA", at positions 33 to 773 of the family's 1533-position model. The record is from RNAcentral.
ACGCUGGCGGCAGGCCUAACACAUGCAAGUCGAGCGGUAGAGAGAAGCUUGCUUCUCUUGAGAGCGGCGGACGGGUGAGUAAUGCCUAGGAAUCUGCCUGGUAGUGGGGGAUAACGUUCGGAAACGGACGCUAAUACCGCAUACGUCCUACGGGAGAAAGCAGGGGACCUUCGGGCCUUGCGCUAUCAGAUGAGCCUAGGUCGGAUUAGCUAGUUGGCGGGGUAAUGGCUCACCAAGGCGACGAUCCGUAACUGGUCUGAGAGGAUGAUCAGUCACACUGGAACUGAGACACGGUCCAGACUCCUACGGGAGGCAGCAGUGGGGAAUAUUGGACAAUGGGCGAAAGCCUGAUCCAGCCAUGCCGCGUGUGUGAAGAAGGUCUUCGGAUUGUAAAGCACUUUAAGUUGGGAGGAAGGGCAGUUGCCUAAUACGUAACUGUUUUGACGUUACCGACAGAAUAAGCACCGGCUAACUCUGUGCCAGCAGCCGCGGUAAUACAGAGGGUGCAAGCGUUAAUCGGAAUUACUGGGCGUAAAGCGCGCGUAGGUGGUUUGUUAAGUUGGAUGUGAAAUCCCCGGGCUCAACCUGGGAACUGCAUUCAAAACUGACUGACUAGAGUAUGGUAGAGGGUGGUGGAAUUUCCUGUGUAGCGGUGAAAUGCGUAGAUAUAGGAAGGAACACCAGUGGCGAAGGCGACCACCUGGACUGAUACUGACACUGAGGUGCGAAAGCGUGGGGAGCAAAC